RNAcentral lists this ribosomal RNA (244 nucleotides) under uncultured bacterium. Its description in RNAcentral is "partial 16S ribosomal RNA". It matches the Rfam family "Bacterial small subunit ribosomal RNA", at positions 15 to 273 of the family's 1533-position model. The record is from RNAcentral.
GAUCAUGGCUCAGAUUGAACGCUGGCGGCAGGCCUAACACAUGCAAGUCGAGCGGGGUUUUCGGACCUAGCGGCGGACGGGUGAGUAAUGCGUAGGAAGCUGCCCGAUAGAGGGGGAUACCAGUUGGAAACGACUGUUAAUACCGCAUAAUGUCUACGGACCAAAGUGUGGGACCUUCGGGCCACAUGCUAUCGGAUGCGCCUACGUGGGAUUAGCUAGUUGGUGAGGUAAUGGCUCACCAAGG